Molecule: ribosomal RNA, 389 nt
Filed under: uncultured soil bacterium
Lineage: Bacteria
Description: bacterial SSU rRNA
Rfam family: Bacterial small subunit ribosomal RNA
Source: RNAcentral
AGAACGAACGCUGGCGGCAUGCCUAAUACAUGCAAGUCGAACGAGAUCUUCGGGUCUAGUGGCGCACGGGUGCGUAACGCGUGGGAAUCUACCCUUGGGUUCGGAAUAACAGUUGGAAACGACUGCUAAUACCGGAUGAUGACGAAAGUCCAAAGAUUUAUCGCCCAAGGAUGAGCCCGCGUAGGAUUAGCUAGUUGGUGAGGUAAAGGCUCACCAAGGCUACGAUCCUUAGCUGGUCUGAGAGGAUGAUCAGCCACACUGGGACUGAGACACGGCCCAGACUCCGUACGGGAGGCAGCAGUAGGGAAUAUUGGACAAUGGGCGAAAGCCUGAUCCAGCAAGUGCCGCGUGAGUGAUGAAGGCCUUAGGUUGUAAGCUCGUUUACCGAG